Molecule: long non-coding RNA, 757 nt
Organism: Pleuronectes platessa (European plaice)
Lineage: Eukaryota; Metazoa; Chordata; Actinopteri; Pleuronectiformes; Pleuronectidae
Exons: 6
Source: RefSeq, a predicted model, not a curated record
GGACAUGACGUGUGGCUGUCGUAAAAACCCUAUUUGUAAACAACCAGUCCUUUUAACUCGGGGCUGCGUCAUAAACACGGAGCGCUUGGAAGACCACGAUGUCAUCUUCCUUCUGUCAGGAGGAUCAAAGUGAAGCUACAGGAGUUUCAUUAACGUCAACAACUUGGACCGAACAGUUUGUUUUGCUUGAUGAAGAGCAGGAAGGGCAGCCUGGAGAGAAAGAGAAGCCGGGUUGAGCCCACUACCAUCAUCCAUGUACCACAAGAAAGAUGAGGGAGAGAAAUGAUCCUACCAUUAAAGAGACUGUGAAAAGAACGUUGAGAACAUCACCACUCUACAGGAAGACACAGUCCAGUAAUGGGUGUCAGAAGUUCAGUAGUGAACGACAGAAACAAACAAUCCAAAUUACCUGCAGAAAGCCCUUGAUGGACGCUUCAGCUGCAUCGUCAGACUGGCAGUACUGAUGCAUUUACUGAGAGGGGACGUGAGGGCCUACUCUGCGUGCUCAGAGUUCAAGCCCAGCAGGCUGCAGCGGGCCUGACAUAUUCUGGAACAGCAGCACAGUCUUUGGAUGACUCCUCUGAAGAUGAAAACAUGGCGAGUUCUUCUCAAGAGAAGCAGUACAGGUGUGCCUCAGCUCCACGGUCCCUCCUCUAGCCUCCGCUCCUGAUGCUAACCUCAUGUCUCCAUCACACCAAGCAGCAGACCUGGAUUGACAGACCUUUCUCCAGAGCUGCCCCCUCCCUCUGAAACCCCC